AGUUUUUAACUCAAGUGGCGGACGGGUGAGUAACACGUAAGAAUUUGCCUUUAGGAGGGGGAUAACAACUGGAAACGGUUGCUAAUACCCCAUAUGCUUUCGAGUGAAAUGGAUUUUUCCGCCUAGAGAGAAGCUUGCGGCUGAUUAGCUUGUUGGUAAGGUAAUGGCUUACCAAAGCGACGAUCAGUAUCUGGUUUGAGAGGAUGAUCAGACACACUGGAACUGAGACACGGUCCAG
Molecule: ribosomal RNA, 238 nt
Filed under: uncultured bacterium
Lineage: Bacteria
Description: partial 16S ribosomal RNA
Rfam family: Bacterial small subunit ribosomal RNA
Source: RNAcentral